RNAcentral lists this ribosomal RNA (477 nucleotides) under uncultured bacterium. Its description in RNAcentral is "partial 16S ribosomal RNA". It matches the Rfam family "Bacterial small subunit ribosomal RNA", at positions 30 to 507 of the family's 1533-position model. The record is from RNAcentral.
AUUGAACGCUGGCGGCAUGCCUUACACAUGCAAGUCGAACGGUAACAGGUUAAGCUGACCAGUGGCGAACGGGUGAGUAAUGUAUCGGAACGUGCCCAGUCGUGGGGGAUAACUGCUCGAAAGAGCAGCUAAUACCGCAUACGACCUGAGGGUGAAAGCGGGGGAUCGCAAGACCUCGCGCGAUUGGAGCGGCCGAUAUCAGAUUAGGUAGUUGGUGAGGUAAAGGCUCACCAAGCCGACGAUCUGUAGCUGGUCUGAGAGGACGACCAGCCACACUGGGACUGAGACACGGCCCAGACUCCUACGGGAGGCAGCAGUGGGGAAUUUUGGACAAUGGGCGCAAGCCUGAUCCAGCCAUGCCGCGUGCGGGAAGAAGGCCUUCGGGUUGUAAACCGCUUUUGUCAGGGAAGAAAAGGUUCUGGCUAAUACCUGGGACUCAUGACGGUACCUGAAGAAUAAGCACCGGCUAACUACGUG